ACCCGCACAAGCGGUGGAUGAUGUGGAUUAAUUCGAUGCAACGCGAAGAACCUUACCUACCCUUGACAUGUCCGGAACUUGCCAGAGAUGGCUUGGUGCCCGAAAGGGAAUCGGAACACAGGUGCUGCAUGGCUGUCGUCAGCUCGUGUCGUGAGAUGUUGGGUUAAGUCCCGCAACGAGCGCAACCCUUAUCAUUAGUUGCUACGCAAGGGCACUCUAAUGAGACUGCCGGUGACAAACCGGAGGAAGGUGGGGAUGACGUCAAGUCCUCAUGGCCCUUAUGGGUAGGGCUUCACACGUCAUACAAUGGUCGGUACAGAGGGUUGCCAAGCCGCGAGGCGGAGCCAAUCCCACAAAGCCGAUCGUAGUCCGGAUCGCAGUCUGCAACUCGACUGCGUGAAGUCGGAAUCGCUAGUAAUCGUGGAUCAGAAUGUCACGGUGAAUACGUUCCCGGGUCUU
Molecule: ribosomal RNA, 459 nt
Filed under: uncultured Thiobacillus sp.
Lineage: Bacteria; Pseudomonadati; Pseudomonadota; Betaproteobacteria; Nitrosomonadales; Thiobacillaceae
Description: bacterial SSU rRNA
Rfam family: Bacterial small subunit ribosomal RNA
Source: RNAcentral